Molecule: ribosomal RNA, 183 nt
Filed under: uncultured bacterium
Lineage: Bacteria
Description: partial 16S ribosomal RNA
Rfam family: Bacterial small subunit ribosomal RNA
Source: RNAcentral
CAUGAAGCUGGAAUCGCUAGUAAUCGCAGAUCAGAAUGCUGCGGUGAAUACGUUCCCGGGUCUUGUACACACCGCCCGUCACACCAUGGGAGCCGGGAAUGCCCGAAGUCGGUGACCCAACCUUUAAGGAGAGAGCCGUCGAAGGCAGGUCUGAUAACUGGGGUGAAGUCGUAACAAGGUACC